Molecule: ribosomal RNA, 491 nt
Filed under: uncultured bacterium
Lineage: Bacteria
Description: partial 16S ribosomal RNA
Rfam family: Bacterial small subunit ribosomal RNA
Source: RNAcentral
AUUGAACGCUGGCGGCAUGCUUUACACAUGCAAGUCGAGCGGUAACAGGCCUUCGGGUGCUGACGAGUGGCGAACGGGUGAGUAAUGCAUCGGAACGUACCCAGAGGUGGGGGAUAACGCAGCGAAAGCUGUGCUAAUACCGCAUGUGAUCUGAGGAUGAAAGCGGGGGACCGAGCAGCAAUGUUUGGCCUCGCGCCUUUGGAGCGGCCGAUGUCGGAUUAGCUAGUUGGUGGGGUAAAGGCCUACCAAGGCGACGAUCCGUAGCUGGUCUGAGAGGACGACCAGCCACACUGGGACUGAGACACGGCCCAGACUCCUACGGGAGGCAGCAGUGGGGACUUUUGGACAAUGGGCGCAAGCCUGAUCCAGCAAUGCCGCGUGCGGGAAGAAGGCCUGCGGGUUGUAAACCGCUUUUGGCAGGAACGAAACGGUGUCCGCUAAUACCGGGCGCUAAUGACGGUACCUGCAGAAUAAGCACCGGCUAACUACGU